Molecule: ribosomal RNA, 1308 nt
Filed under: metagenome
Description: bacterial LSU rRNA
Rfam family: Bacterial large subunit ribosomal RNA
Source: RNAcentral
AAGCUUCCAAGAAAAGCCCUAUACCCGUUAAGGCAUGACGGCCUGUACCCGAAACCGACACAGGUGGGGUGGUAGAGAAUACCGAGGGGCGCGAGAUAACUCUCUCUAAGGAACUCGGCAAAAUGGCCCCGUAACUUCGGGAGAAGGGGUGCCACCGCAAGGUGGUCGCAGUGAAGAGGCCCAGGCUACUGUUUACCAAAAACACAGGUCUCCGCUAAGUCGCAAGACGAUGUAUGGGGGCUGACGCCUGCCCAGUGCCGGAAGGUUAAGGAAGCUGGUCAGCGCAAGCGAAGCUAGCGACUGAAGCCCCGGUGAACGGCGGCCGUAACUAUAACGGUCCUAAGGUAGCGAAAUUCCUUGUCGGGUAAGUUCCGACCCGCACGAAAGGCGUAACGAUCUGGGCGCUGUCUCGGAGAGAGGCUCGGCGAAAUAGAAUUGUCUGUGAAGAUGCGGACUACGUGCACCCGGACAGAAAGACCCUAUGAAGCUUUACUGUAGCUUGGUAUUGUGCCCGGGCUCUGAAUGCGCAGGAUAGGUGGGAGGCUUUGAUCCAUUGCUUGUGGGUAAUGGUGAGCCACUGGUGAGAUACCACUCUUUCAGAGCUAGGGUUCUAACGGUCACCCGUUAUCCGGGGACCGGACAGUAUCAGGUGGGCAGUUUGACUGGGGCGGUCGCCUCCUAAAAGGUAACGGAGGCGCGCAAAGGUUCCCUCAGGCUGGUUGGAAAUCAGCCGACGAGUGUAAAGGCAGAAGGGAGCUUGACUGUGAGACCUACAAGUCGAACAGGGACGAAAGUCGGCCUUAGUGAUCCGACGGUUCUAGUGGAAGGGCCGUAGCUCAACGGAUAAAAGUUACUCUAGGAUAACAGGCUGAUCUCCCCCAAGAGUUCACAUCGACGGGGAGGUUUGGCACCUCGAUGUCGGCUCAUCGCAACCUGGGGCUGAAGUCGGUCCCAAGGGUUGGGCUGUUCGCCCAUUAAAGCGGUACGCGAGCUGGUUCAGAACGUCGUGAGACAGUUCGGUCCAUAUCCGGUGCACGCGCAGGAACAUUGAGAGGAUUUCUCCCUAGUACGAGAGGACCGGGAGGAACGCACCUCUGGUGUACCAGUUAUCGUGCCAACGGUAAACGCUGGGUAGCCAUGUGCGGAGCGGAUAACCGCUGAAAGCAUCUAAGUGGGAAGCCCACCUCAAGAUGAGUGUUCCCAUGGCAUAAGCCAGUAAGGUCACGGGAAGAACACCCGUUGAUAGGCUCUACGUGGAAGCGUGGCAACACGUGAAGCGGAGGAGUACUAAUAGACCGAGGGCUUGAC